AGGUCUGUCCCCUUUCCAAGGGAUUCCUCCCACUGCUGGUGCUCCGGCUCCCUGCAGACACAGCUUUACCCAGAUGGGUUUUGUUGAGCCCCGGGGCAAACGGAUUCUUGAGCUUAAGAUUUUUGUUCAUGUUUGACUUUAUGACGUCCUCGCCAGUGACAGGAGCAUAGUUUUACCAAUUAAAGUAAGCUGUGGAAGCCAGGAAGUGGGAAGGACUUCUUGUCCCCAUGGUUCUCCCUGUCCCCGCUGAGCAGAAGCCCUUAAAGAGAGGUGGAUUUUUGAGAGAAAUUUGAUCCUCUGAAGGCUGAAGCUGCCCUGCCACUUAUUCAAGGCAGCAGAUCAGACAUGAUGGAACAUCUUUAUGAAUGUCCUUUCUGACAGUGAAAAUGCAAAUCAUUCUGUUCAUCAGUAACCACAAAGAACCAACAUGUCUCCUGGCCCAGAAGUUUCCCACCACUUCCAGCCUACAAUGGAUAAUUCAAGUGAGAACUUCUUGGUGGUGCCAAUAAUUUAUGCAUUCCCAUCUGCUGGGCAAAAAAAGGACUUGGAGCAGAUCAUUUAUCUGUGCUGACAGUGAACAGAACAUCUGGAGGGAAGAGUUUUGACCCAGGAAGCUGCUGGGAAAGGGAAUUUUGUUGAAGUAACCAUGCCCUAGAGAUGGAAAAUGGGUUAAAUUCUUCUUGACCCCUUCCCAUUAUCAUUUUGUGAUCUUGGAUUAAUGUUAUAGUGGAAUGAAAUGUCACUAAUUCCAUAAGAGCUAAUGAGAUGUGCCAGCUGCCUUCAGAAAGUCUCGGGCAUCCCAAUCCCUGCCCUGAGCAGCCCAACAAAUCCUGCUUUCCGUGGCUGCCUCGUGACUUCCAAAUGUCCUUGAGGUUCUGCCUAAGACAUCCACUAUGUCUA
Vidua chalybeata is the source of this 900-nucleotide long non-coding RNA. RefSeq lists it as uncharacterized. The transcript has 6 exons. NCBI's taxonomy places the organism in Eukaryota, Metazoa, Chordata, Aves, Passeriformes, Viduidae. The record is from RefSeq and is a predicted model, not a curated record.